GAGAGAGGGAGGGUUGGGGAGAACGAGGAAAGGAGAAAUGGACAUACAGUUGAAGUCGGAAGUUUACAUACACUUAGGAGGGACUGGUGCACUUCACAAUAUAGAUGGCAUCAUGAGGGAGGAAAAUGAUGUGGAUAUAUUGAAGCAACAUCUCAAGACAUCAGUCAGGAAGUUGAAGCUUGGUCGCAAAUGGGUCUUCUAAAUGGACAAUGACCCCAAGCAUACUUCCAAAGUUGUGGCAAAAUGGCUUAAGGACAACAAAGUCAAGGUAUUGGAGUGGCCAUCACAAAGCCCUGACCUCAAUCCUAUAGCAAAUUUGUCGGCAGAACUGAAAAAGCAUGUGCGAGCAAGGAGGCCUACAAACCUGACUCAGUUACACCAGCUCUGUCAGGAGGAGUGGACCAAAAUUCACCCAACUUAUUGUGGGAAGCUUGUGGAAGGCUACCCGCAACGUUUGACCCAAGUUAAACAAUUUUAAGGCAAUGCAACCAAAUACUAAUUGUGUGUAUGUCAACUUCUGACCCACUGGAAUGUGAUGAAAUAAAUAAAAGCUGAAAUAAA
Molecule: long non-coding RNA, 561 nt
Organism: Salvelinus fontinalis (brook trout)
Lineage: Eukaryota; Metazoa; Chordata; Actinopteri; Salmoniformes; Salmonidae
Exons: 2
Source: RefSeq, a predicted model, not a curated record